Long non-coding RNA from Cygnus olor (mute swan), 2013 nucleotides. RefSeq lists it as uncharacterized. NCBI's taxonomy places the organism in Eukaryota, Metazoa, Chordata, Aves, Anseriformes, Anatidae. The transcript is spliced from 3 exons. The record is from RefSeq and is a predicted model, not a curated record.
UGCUCUUAAUGAAGCUACUUCCUGGGGAAAGCACCCCCAGCCCUCCAGAUGGAACAAGUAAACAACCAGCACUGCAGAUGGAGACAUCGCUCUUAGAGUAUUGUGAAACCUAGCUCUUGGACUGAGGUCUUCAGCCUGGAGUUGCCCUUUCCCUGGCUCUGGACACAGGGCCACUGAUGCUCCUCCCUGCAGCACAGUGCUUGCUUUGCCUACGGGAUUCAUCAUGGGCAGCCGUGGUGGAAGCCGUGGUCCAGAAAAGAAGCCUUCAACGACACCAACAGUUUCAACAAAGCAAUGUGUGAGUGUGGUCUUUGCUUCAGAAGAUUAUACUUCCCUAGGUAUUUCAGGCACCUCUCUCAGCAGAGCCACCAUGCUCAGGACGUAAGCAGUACAUAGGACAGAAGCUGCUGUUCUUGAUCUCCUUGUGGAAAGAUGUUGUAUUAUCGUGAGGCAAUGCCAAGUACCAUGAAGCCACCAUGCCUUUUAAAACAAUUCUGUUGUAAGCCUCAAACCUGUCAGAAAAAUACAACUGAGCAGACUUUUUAAAACCAAGGGAUCAGCCAGCCAAAGCUCACACAGGAAUCAAAACAAUGACUUAGAGCAGUUACAAAGUUAAAUAUGAGUUGUUUUCAAAUCUGUUGCAGGAGCACCAGUGCCAGAGGUACCAAUUUUGCAGGAAGAACAGUGAGGUAAAACUUUAAAGAUCAAGCCCUGAAGAGCUUUCUGUGUGUUUAUGUGCACUGCACUCAUUCUGCUUCAAGGCUAUAGGAAAAUUAUUUCUGGAAUGUGGCAAAUGGCAUAAUACAUGUUACAGAUCCCACUCUUAGUCAGCUGCAAAGCUUGUGCUGCCUUUGGGGGAGAGGGAUUAGAGGCAACUUUUUAUUGUUCAAGAAUUUUUAGGACAGAUAAAAAACUCAGCUGCAAUUACAAACCAAGCAAGACUAUACUAAUUUUUCUAUCACCUUCUGGACUCACAGCUGUGCAUCUGCCAAUUAGAGCUGGUUGGAAAAUUUCCAGCAAAUCAAAAUAUUUUUGGAAACCUCUCCACAGCUCGUAGGGUCCAAGAUGCUAGGGCUCUUGAAAUGCCUUAGAUUUGACAGACUUCAGCAAGUUCAAAGGUGAAUUUCUGGGAGCAAAGAAGGAGCUGCACAGCCCUUAACCGCUGGGCAGAUGCAUCUGCAGGGAUCCACAGGGAUGUUUCCAUUUCGGCUGAGGAAUGAGGAGCCCACUCAGGGGUAAACUCUUCUGGAAAAAAAUGGUUUGAAUGAGAUUGGUGUAUGGACUGGCUUCAAGAGGGGAAUGAAUGGACACAGAUCCCAGGUGGAGUGAUUAAAUUAUUAAAUUAUAGAAGAAAAAAAAAAAAAGAUUGGAAAGGAUGUCUGGAUGUCAUCUGGUCCAAACCCAGGCUGAAAGCCAAGCUGACUUCAAAAUGAGAUGGAGGUUGCCCAAGGCCUUGUUUCGUCCAGCUUUGAGCAUCUCCAAGUAAGGGGAUUCCGUAGCCUCUCUGGAUGACCUCUUCUGGUGCUCAGCUACACCCAUGAGAAGAAUCCUUAGCCUUCCUUCUUUCAAGACACAGGCAGAUCUUAUUUUGUCAGGACGGGGCUGUCACAGGCAGCACCAUUUCGUUCUUCGCCAUGCCCAGCACUCUGUGGUAUUGAACCGAAGCUCUGCUGCUUGAGGACAAACCCGGACACAGGGCAUGAAGAAAGCUCAUCUGUGCACGGCUGCUGCCUUCCUGGCACUGGAGCACCCUCAGCAAUCUGCUCAGAAAGCUUAGAGCUGACUUUGCAUCUUUUGGCCUUGAUCUCUGGCUCUAAAGUUAAUUGGGAUAAUUCAGAGUUCACACCCCUAUCCCUGAGGGGUUGGUUUAAAAAUACAUGUAAUGUGAGUUUGAAAAUUAUUUCUUUUGAUUGGAAGUAUUUGGAAAUGUUCCUCUCCACUGGUUUUAAAAGGUGUCAUUUUUUUAUGAAUGCUGAGACGUUGAUUAAUAAAAUUCCGAAAGCAUUAACUCAA